UCAAAGCCUCUUUUCCUGGCUAUUCUCUCUUGCAUUUAAGUUUCUAACCAAAGCCUAUCUAUUUAGUCUCGAUUCAACCAAACAAAAACCGUUCCUCCUCCGUUGUCAACUUUGAAAACAUUUGGCCAGUUCCUCCUCUCUCUCCUCCUAUAAUGUUCAUCUGAAAACAUAAAAGCAUACAGUUUCCCAUCUCUUCUACAACUCCAACAAUGUUCAACAUCUCACAAGUUAAGGUUCCGAGUUCCGACUCCGAUUGCAACUCGCCGUCGCGAUUUGACCACAAAAAAAGGGGAUGCCCUUGGGCUAGAGCAACUAUGAAGACUUCAUUGAGCUGGCUCUUGGGCUAGGGCAAUCGGGAUGCUUUUUUUUUUUUUGGGCUUUAAGGAAGUGAAGUGUCACUAGGGACUUGGUUACGCUACUUGAAAGGUUUGAGGAUCGAACCAAAAGAUCUUGGGGUUAUUUGGACAGGUUAGGUGCAGUUAAAAGAUAUUAGCUCACGUAUUUCUUAUUUGGGUAUUGGAAAUUUGAGCUGCUACAAUUAAUAUUCUAGCACUGAUUUUGCUUCUGGGAAGCUAAUGGAUUUGGACCAUUUAGUGGGA
This is a long non-coding RNA of Quercus robur (English oak), 599 nucleotides long. RefSeq lists it as uncharacterized. The record is from RefSeq and is a predicted model, not a curated record. Lineage: Eukaryota; Viridiplantae; Streptophyta; Magnoliopsida; Fagales; Fagaceae. The transcript is spliced from 2 exons.